Long non-coding RNA from Vigna angularis (adzuki bean), 3440 nucleotides. RefSeq lists it as uncharacterized. Lineage: Eukaryota; Viridiplantae; Streptophyta; Magnoliopsida; Fabales; Fabaceae. The transcript has 3 exons. The record is from RefSeq and is a predicted model, not a curated record.
UGCCACGGUCCAGCUGAAAACGUUGAUUCAUUCAAGAAGUGGAGUGUACGGUGAUUGGAGAAUUCAAAUCAAUUGCAAAGAGAUGGCACACGUGAAAGAAGCGCUGAAUCACUUGGCCUGGUCCAGCAGAGGCAGCAGCAACACGACCCAAAGCACGUCCAGGAGAUGUCACGAGUCCAGCACAGCAGCUUUUAGGUGCAGCUCUCGGUCCAGCAGGCUGGAGCAAGCACGUCACGGGCUUGGAUGCGCGUAAUGUGGGCUGAGUCACGCUCCAGCUUCAAUAAAGGUCCAGUAGAGGUGACGUUCCGCAAUAGGAUGAAGCACGUAAGGAGUAACGCAUCCAGCAUUGGAGAAAGGUGUGGCGGACAGCGAGAAGUGGAGUGGCGUCCAGCAGCCUUCACGGUCGAAGCAGCAAACGGCCCUUGAGUAGCUGACGCGUCCAGCAGCUUGGGAGUCCAAGGUCCAGCAACGGGAUGGAAGACUCACGGUCCAACAAGCAGAAGUUUUUAGGCUAUCAAUUAAGGAGCAACUGCAGAAGCGAAGUGUUAAUUUCAUUUGAUGUAGCUCCAAGCAGUGUGCACGGUGAUGAUUCAUGGAGAAAGGUGUGCACGGGAAUUAAUUAAAAGCUCAAGUCUUUUCUUUGCUGGAAGGAGACACGGUGCAUUUACAUUUUGUUUGCAAACGCUGAUUCAAUUGCAGGGAAUAUUAAUUGGUUUAUUUUCUAGCAAUGUUACGCACUUUUCAUUUAUAUUUUAUUUCAGCAAUGCAGAUCUUCUUUCUUUUUUAAAAAAAUGGUAGACGGAAUUUGAUGAAGCACACAGCUCACUUAUUUUACUUUAUUUAACUGUUACAAGUUUUUCUUUUUAGUGUCAAUAACCAUUGCAAUGUGUAUUUCCUGUCUUAGCUCAACGAUGCAUUUAAAUAGCAUUAGAAGUGUUUUUUUAUUUUUCUGCAUUUUCAAUUUCCUCACUUACUUUAGAGACCGUUCGGUCUCAAUGUAGGACCGUUCGGUCUUCAAGCUUUGUCCAUUUAUUUUAAUGUUUUCAAUUAUGUUUAGUUCUAUUUAAUUUCCAGUUUCAAUUCAGUUUGUUUCGAAUCACAAAAACACUUUCAAACCCCUCACUACGUGUUUGACCUAAGACUCGAACCACAUUUAGUCCUUGAGAGACGACCUAGGAGUCACUUCCUAGCACUGUACUGCAUUAUUUUAUAUGCACAUCAAAUUUGAUGGGCCGCGACGCCCGCAUCAAAUUUUGGCGCCGUUGCUGGGGACCAACAGUUCGGUCUUAGGUCUCUUUUUUGUGUUAGUGUGUUUUGUGUUUUGUCUUGUGUUGUGAGUGUGAUGUUCUGUUUUGUGUGUACGUUAUUGUGUGUGCGUGUCGCAUGUUUAAUUGUGUUGUGUUUUGUUUGUUUCGUAAUUUUUAGCAUUUCCUUUCUACCUUUUUUUUUUCUUUUUCCAUGUCUACCUAUUUUGGUUUUGUGAAUACUACUUCUUCUGUCUGUGCCUAUGACUAUGAUUCUCCUUCUGCAUGUUACUUUGACUAUGUUUCUCAUGCUGAUUUUUGUGUUGAGGAAUAUAUGACUCAUCCUCUAACUCCUGAGAGUGCUCCUUGGAGCCGGUUCCACUUGAUGAGGAGGAUGUUCGUUGUGGUUUCAACACUGAACUGAUAAAUUUGCUGCCUGAGUUUCAUGGUUUUGUAGGUGAAUGCCCAUAUAAACAUUUGGAGAAGUUCUAUCUCAUUUGCUCUGCAAUGAAACCUCCAGAUGUCCCGGAUGAUCACAUUUUCGUAAGAGCAUUUUCACACUCAUUACAAGGAGUAGCGAAGGAUUGGUGUUAUUGUCUUCCUCCAAGAUCCGUCACCAGUUGGGAAGAUCUUGAGCAUCAGUUUCUAAACGAAUUCUUCCCUAUGCAGUAUGGUUACAGCAACGAUCCUAGGUGGAAAGAUCCUAACCUGGGAUGGUAUGGUACUCCACAACAUCAAUAUCAAGAACCACCACUCCAGAAUACUUGUAUGCCUCCACCAGUCCAGGAGCUACAGCAGCUGCAGUCUUAUGAGCCUGCCCAAGCAACUCCUCAUCCUUCCACUACUUCUGAGCCUACAUUGAAGGAGUUGUUGUAUCAAAUGACCAUGCAGAACAUUCAGUUUCAACAAGAGAACAUGAAGUUUCAGCAAGAGAACAUGGAAUGUUCAGAUUCUUGAUGAUGUUAGUGUCAUUCACAUAGGAGAUGAGGACCACAGUCUUAUGCUCAUUGUGCCACCUACUUUCCCACCUUCAGAUGUCCCUACUCUGGCACUUGAGGAGACUUACACUGAUGAAGAUUUUAAGGAACAGGCAAGUAUAAGCAACAACUAUGAUCCAAGUAGACCAGCAUCAUCUACCACCACUCUACCAAUCUUUAGGGAAGUGUAGAUCCAGCUAUGGAAGACAUUUGCCUGCUAGAUCAAAUCUGGAGGAGGAAGCAAUUCUUCCUCAAAACUUCCUUGCUGGAUCCAAUGGUGGAAGACAUCUCCCUACAAGUCCAAAAUUGGCAACUGCCACCAUGACCAGGGGAGGUUUCUUUUUCCCUUCUCCCCCUUUCCCUACUUUUAUUGCACUUGUCCAUGAUCUGUUCAUUGUUUUGAUUUCUGAUCUUAUACUUAUGACACAUUGAGGACACUGUGUAGUUUAAGUGUGGUCUAUUAGGGGAGAUUCUGAUUUUUCUUCGUUAGUUUUUGUUUUCUAGGUUAAAUUUUUUUUCUUUUCUAGGUUAUUUUUGUAGACUUGACCUUCACUUCAUUGAUACUUUGCUUGAAAUCUUUGCUUUUCUUUGCUUGGGAAGAUGAUUAUGAUGUUUGAGAGGUUGAAUUGAUUGUGACACAAAUACCCUGUGUGAGAAUUUGAGCCACUUGAUGUUCUUUCUUGUGUGUGAUAUGUCUCUUGAUUGCUUGCUGUUGAGAGGGUCGUGAUGGACAAUUUUAUGAACACCAAAAUGUGAUGUCACAAACUUGUUUUACAAUCGGCAAGUAUGACCGAAUCGUUUCAAGUAAUAACUCGGUAAGACCAAGUAUCGUUCUCCCAAAGGACUCACGGCCUAGUUUAGUUAUGUGAUUCGUUGAUUAGCUAAGACUUAAGAACGAAAUAAUUGGAUUUUAUAUGAAAAAGACGAAAAUAAACAUGUAUGCAUGAGGGUGAUCAAUGGCUAAAGCAAAAAUACAAACACUUUCAAUGGAAUAAAUGAAUGAGUAUGUUGUUGGGGGUCAAUUUCAUCUUAUCUACUCUCAUAUAUUUUAGGAAUUUAACAUUCAAUUCAUCAUUGUCAAUGCCACUCUCUAAAUUACCUUUCAAAGAAGGUUUCUCCCUAAUUACGAGUUCAUACGAUUCCUAGCAUCCCUAAUAAUUAGUUUAUUUAGCACAGGAGCUUAAGGCAACCAAUAUACCUAUUGGGAGAAAUUCCCCAG